GCUUCUUUUUCCACCGGAGCUUGCUCCACCGGAAAAAGAGGAGUGGCGAACGGGUGAGUAACACGUGGGUAACCUGCCCAUCAGAAGGGGAUAACACUUGGAAACAGGUGCUAAUACCGUAUAACAAUCGAAACCGCAUGGUUUUGAUUUGAAAGGCGCUUUCGGGUGUCGCUGAUGGAUGGACCCGCGGUGCAUUAGCUAGUUGGUGAGGUAACGGCUCACCAAGGCCACGAUGCAUAGCCGACCUGAGAGGGUGAUCGGCCACAUUGGGACUGAGACACGGCCCAAACUCCUACGGGAGGCAGCAGUAGGGAAUCUUCGGCAAUGGACGAAAGUCUGACCGAGCAACGCCGCGUGAGUGAAGAAGGUUUUCGGAUCGUAAAACUCUGUUGUUAGAGAAGAACAAGGAUGAGAGUAACUGUUCAUCCCUUGACGGUAUCUAACCAGAAAGCCACGGCUAACUACGUGCCAGCAGCCGCGGUAAUACGUAGGUGGCAAGCGUUGUCCGGAUUUAUUGGGCGUAAAGCGAGCGCAGGCGGUUUCUUAAGUCUGAUGUGAAAGCCCCCGGCUCAACCGGGGAGGGUCAUUGGAAACUGGGAGACUUGAGUGCAGAAGAGGAGAGUGGGAUUCCAUGUGUAGCGGUGAAAUGCGUAGAUAUAUGGAGGAACACCAGUGGCGAAGGCGGCUCUCUGGUCUGUAACUGACGCUGAGGCUCGAAAGCGUGGGGAGCAAACAGGAUUAGAUACCCUGGUAGU
Molecule: ribosomal RNA, 755 nt
Filed under: bacterium enrichment culture clone WG_320
Lineage: Bacteria
Description: bacterial SSU rRNA
Rfam family: Bacterial small subunit ribosomal RNA
Source: RNAcentral